RNAcentral lists this non-coding RNA (21 nucleotides) under Xenopus tropicalis (tropical clawed frog). RNAcentral also lists the same sequence under 1 other name. The record is from RNAcentral. Lineage: Eukaryota; Metazoa; Chordata; Amphibia; Anura; Pipidae.
AAACUUUCAACAACGGAUCUC